Molecule: ribosomal RNA, 486 nt
Filed under: uncultured bacterium
Lineage: Bacteria
Description: partial 16S ribosomal RNA
Rfam family: Bacterial small subunit ribosomal RNA
Source: RNAcentral
GACGAACGCUGGCGGCGUGCUUAACACAUGCAAGUCGAACGCUGAAGACCUGGCUUUUGUUGGGUUGGAUGAGUGGCGAACGGGUGAGUAACACGUGAGUAACCUGCCCUCUUCUUUGGGAUAACGCCCGGAAACGGGUGCUAAUACUGGAUAUUCACUGAUCUUCGCAUGGGGGUUGGUGGAAAGGUUUGUUCUGGUGGGGGAUGGGCUCGCGGCCUAUCAGCUUGUUGGUGGGGUGAUGGCCUACCAAGGCUUUGACGGGUAGCCGGCCUGAGAGGGUGACCGGUCACAUUGGGACUGAGAUACGGCCCAGACUCCUACGGGAGGCAGCAGUGGGGAAUAUAGCACAAUGGGCGAAAGCCUGAUGCAGCGGCGCCGCGUGAGGGAUGGAGGCCUUCGGGUUGUAAACCUCUUUCGCUCAUGGUCAAGCCGCAACUGUGGGUUGUGGUGAGGGUAGUGGGUAAAGAAGCGCCGGCUAACUACGUG